UGCCAGCCGCCGCGGUAAUACAGAGGUCCCAAGCGUUGUUCGGAUUCACUGGGCGUAAAGGGUGUGUAGGUGGUGGGAAAAGUUUGAUGUGAAAUCUCCGGGCUCAACCCGGAAACUGCAUUGAAUACUAUUCCACUAGAGGAUCGGAGGGGAGACUGGAAUUCUCGGUGUAGCAGUGAAAUGCGUAGAUAUCGAGAGGAACACCAGUGGCGAAGGCGAGUCUCUGGACGAUUCCUGACACUGAGGCACGAAAGCUAGGGGAGCAAACAGGAUUAGAUA
RNAcentral lists this ribosomal RNA (279 nucleotides) under uncultured bacterium. RNAcentral's name for it is "partial 16S ribosomal RNA". It matches the Rfam family "Bacterial small subunit ribosomal RNA", at positions 506 to 784 of the family's 1533-position model. The record is from RNAcentral.